UUCUGGGGCGAGCGCCUCCCUGAGCUGGGCUUCCCUGAUUCCUUGCUGAUGACAGAGCCAUUCUCACUGGGCGACCUGCUGGAAGUAACCAUAGCAACAGGGAGAUGGGAAAGUUAUGAAUGAACACAUUUCUGGGGAGAAACUCCAACUCUGCUUUACUCUUUCAUCCACUUAUGAACUUAUGUUUACAUGGAGCCAUCAACCCAAACUUCUGGUCAAAAACAUAAGACCUAUUCUGAGAGGUUAUGCAGGCCACAACCAGCAGGAAUGAGGAGACUGAUGUGGCAAGACGGAAAAGCCAGAAAAAUAAAUGCAACGUGGGUUUGGUUUUGGUUUCAGCAUCUUAAUAUCUUCCCAAAUGAAUUGGACUCCCAUGGU
Molecule: long non-coding RNA, 378 nt
Organism: Felis catus (domestic cat)
Lineage: Eukaryota; Metazoa; Chordata; Mammalia; Carnivora; Felidae
Exons: 3
Source: RefSeq, a predicted model, not a curated record